GGGGCUAUUGUCUGGUUUUGCGGUCUGUGUCCACAUUGCAGGGGAAUUAUUGUUUUGUUUCGCUGUCUGCGCCGCAUCGCAGAGGGGCUAUUGUCUGGUGUUGCGGUCUGUGUCCACAUUGCAGGGGAAUUAUUGUCUUGUUUCGCUGUCUGCGCCGCAUCGCAGAGGGGCUAUUGUCUAGUUUUGCGGUCUGUGUCUGUUUUUAGGCUUAUUUGUGGUGUUUUGCCGUUGUUGAGGGAGAACUUUUGCUUAAACAUGCAUGCUAACAAAACUGUUGUGGCUAACAUAGGCGUGCUGAUUUGAUGUUUACACAGGGCCGCUAACAAAGUAGCUAGUGUGCUACCUUUUAGCGGCGCUGUGUAAACAGUAAGCUAGUUGUAACUUAGUAAUUGGGUGACUUCACUGAACUCUUGCAGAUCAUAAUUUAGCAUUUUACGGUGGUGGUGGAAGUCUAUUGUCUUGUUUCGCGUUCUGUGUCCACAUCGCAGAGGGGCUAUUGUCUGGUUUUGCAAUCUGUGUCUGUGUUUUUACGCUUAUUUGUGGUGUUUUACCGUUGUUGAGGGAGAACUUUUGCUUAAACAUGCAUGCUAACAAAACUGUUGUGGCUAACAUAGGCGUGCUGAUUUGAUGUUUACACAGCGCCGCUAACAAAGUAGCUAGUGUGCUACUUUGUUAGCGGCCCUGUGUAAACAGUAAGCUAGUUGUAACUUAGUUAUUCUGUGACUUCACUGAACUCUUGGAGAUCAUAAUUUAGCACUUUACAGUGGUGGUGGAAGUCUAUUGUCUUGUUUCGCUGUCUGCGUCAGCAUCGUAGAGGGGCUAUUGUCUGGUUUUGCGGUCUGUGUCCACAUUGCAGUGGAAUUAUUGUCUUGUUUUGCUGUCUGUGUCCCCAUCGCAAGGGGGCUUUGGUCUGAUUU
Non-coding RNA from Xyrichtys novacula (pearly razorfish), 917 nucleotides. NCBI's taxonomy places the organism in Eukaryota, Metazoa, Chordata, Actinopteri, Labriformes, Labridae. The record is from the annotation of a GenBank genome assembly.